UUUAGAAAUCGUGAGGGUUCAAGUCCCUCUAUCCCCAAAAAACCAGGUCGC
RNAcentral lists this transfer RNA (51 nucleotides) under Spenceria ramalana. Its description in RNAcentral is "partial tRNA-Leu". Lineage: Eukaryota; Viridiplantae; Streptophyta; Magnoliopsida; Rosales; Rosaceae. The record is from RNAcentral.